GGAGGCGUGGCCGAGUGGUCGAAGGCGGCAGUCUUGAAAACUGUUGAGCCGAGAGGUUCCGUGGGUUCGAAUCCUACCGCCUCCGCCA
RNAcentral lists this transfer RNA (88 nucleotides) under Eggerthellaceae bacterium. RNAcentral describes it as "tRNA-Ser". It matches the Rfam family "tRNA". From Rfam's summary of the family: Transfer RNA (tRNA) molecules are approximately 80 nucleotides in length. Their secondary structure includes four short double-helical elements and three loops (D, anti-codon, and T loops). Lineage: Bacteria; Bacillati; Actinomycetota; Coriobacteriia; Eggerthellales; Eggerthellaceae. The record is from RNAcentral. RNAcentral also lists the same sequence under 1 other name.